This is a non-coding RNA of Trichobilharzia regenti, 49 nucleotides long. The record is from Rfam. Lineage: Eukaryota; Metazoa; Platyhelminthes; Trematoda; Strigeidida; Schistosomatidae.
AUCCAGCUGGGGAACGAGCCCCAAAUAGGACGAAAUGCGCAUCCUGGAU